Molecule: ribosomal RNA, 515 nt
Filed under: uncultured Gram-positive bacterium
Lineage: Bacteria
Description: bacterial SSU rRNA
Rfam family: Bacterial small subunit ribosomal RNA
Source: RNAcentral
AGAGUUUGAUCCUGGCUCAGGAUGAACGCUGGCGGCGUGCUUAACACAUGCAAGUCGAACGAAGCAUUUGCGACAGAUUUCUUCGGAUUGAAGUUGCUUAUGACUGAGUGGCGGACGGGUGAGUAACGCGUGGGUAACCUGCCUCACACAGGGGGAUAGCAGUUGGCAACGACUGAUAAUACCGCAUAAGCGCACAGUACCGCAUGGUACAGUGUGAAAAACUCCGGUGGUGUGAGAUGGACCCGCGUCUGAUUAGCUUGUUGGCGGGGUAACGGCCCACCAAGGCAACGAUCAGUAGCCGACCUGAGAGGGUGACCGGCCACAUUGGGACUGAGACACGGCCCAGACUCCUACGGGAGGCAGCAGUGGGGAAUAUUGCACAAUGGAGGAAACUCUGAUGCAGCGACGCCGCGUGAGUGAAGAAGUAAUUCGUUAUGUAAAGCUCUAUCAGCAGGGAAGAUAGUGAUGGUACCUGACUAAGAAGCUCCGGCUAAAUACGUGCCAGCAGCCGCGGU